This 102-nucleotide Y RNA is filed under the name Propithecus coquereli (Coquerel's sifaka). Its description in RNAcentral is "Y RNA (ENSPCOG00000005824.1)". It matches the Rfam family "Y RNA". Rfam says of the family: Y RNAs are components of the Ro ribonucleoprotein particle (Ro RNP), in association with Ro60 and La proteins. The Y RNAs and Ro60 and La proteins are well conserved, but the function of the Ro RNP is not known. The record is from Rfam by way of RNAcentral. Lineage: Eukaryota; Metazoa; Chordata; Mammalia; Primates; Indriidae.
GGCUCGUCCCAGUGUAGUGGUGUUUAUAACUAAUUGAUCACAACCAGUUACAGAUUCCUUUGUUCCUUCUCCACUCCCACUGCUUCACUUGAAUAGCCUAAG